RNAcentral lists this ribosomal RNA (368 nucleotides) under uncultured eukaryote. RNAcentral describes it as "partial 18S ribosomal RNA". It matches the Rfam family "Eukaryotic small subunit ribosomal RNA", at positions 592 to 976 of the family's 1831-position model. The record is from RNAcentral.
CAAUAGCGUAUAUUAUAGUUGUUGCAGUUAAAAUGCUCGUAGUUGAAGUUCGGAUGCAGCAGAGCUUGGAAACGCUGUUAUGGUGCUUCCGUUGCUUUUGCUUGUCCACAGUGCGUUGCAAGUACGUAUGUGCUUGUGCGUGCAUUUUACUUUGAGAAACAUAGGGUGUUCCACGCAUGUUACGGCAUGAAUAUUCCAGCAUGGGAUAAUCUGGUACGACUUCCAAUCUGCCAUUUUGGUUCGUAGGUUGGAAGUAAUGAUUAAUAGGGACUGUCGGGGGCAUUGGUAUUUGACUGUCAGAGGUGAAAUUCUGAGAUUCGUUGAGGACCAACCACUGCGAAAGCAUUUGUCAAGGAUGUCUCCAUUAA